CACUCACUGUAGUGCACUGUAAGUAAGUUUCGAGAUCAGGUGAGGUGGAACGGGACCGUCUCGAUUGUCAAAUCCUACAGUACUUAGAACAGUGAUUUUUCAGAUACUACUGCACGCAGUCGUCUACCAGACUCCGAUUCUUUAUAGCGCGCAUUAGUAAACGGUGUUUUGGUAGCCGUAAAGAUGUGCAGUGACGGAAGAAAACGUCAUUUCCACGGAUGACGUGAGGUAGAGCAGUUCCGACACUAGAUGGGGACACUCCCGGUAAACAGUAUCACAGGUCGCCGCAAACCGUGCACCUUCUCUCUUUUAAGCUGUGACCUUUACUCGGAUUCAAAUUAAUUGUCUUCGUUUUCUCAAAAAACCCGAAGCUGCACCACCGGAAAACACUUUGAACGAAGGUACCCCUUUUUCUUUCUGUGAAUACGGUUUCGGGGAUUUUUCGACCCACCGUUCAAGGGCGGACAAUUACUGAGCAGCACCGACACGGCCUCCUUUUUUAGUCACCAUGUAUCAGAGAAAAAGUGACUGAAGGUACAGCUGGUGAGCACCACUACAUUCCGAUACAAAGGGGUGAAUGAGACGGCGUGGCAAAAUUGACUGUCUUUUAUCUCCUGCUCUGUAUUGCUUUCGUUUAGUAAUCCCCGUCUUCCACUGAACGAUCAGUCUGUACUCCGGUGGUUGACACGCUAAUAUGUGACGCUGGCUGCUUACUAGAAAUCGCGUGUUCUUCAGUGAAAUGACCU
Molecule: long non-coding RNA, 746 nt
Filed under: Toxoplasma gondii VEG
Lineage: Eukaryota; Apicomplexa; Conoidasida; Eucoccidiorida; Sarcocystidae
Source: RNAcentral